Molecule: ribosomal RNA, 495 nt
Filed under: Chroomonas vectensis
Lineage: Eukaryota; Cryptophyceae; Pyrenomonadales; Chroomonadaceae
Description: bacterial SSU rRNA
Rfam family: Bacterial small subunit ribosomal RNA
Source: RNAcentral
AGGUGGUGCAUGGCUGUCGUCAGCUCGUGUCGUGAGAUGUUGGGUUAAGUCCCGCAACGAGCGUAACCCUUAUUUUUAGUUGCCAUCAUUCAGUUGGGCACUUUAAAAAGACUGCCGGUGAUAAACCGGAGGAAGGUGAGGACGACGUCAAGUCAGCAUGCCCCUUACGCCCUGGGCCACACACGUACUACAAUGGUCGAGACAAAGAGUUGCUAGUCUGUGAAGACACGCUAAUCUCAUAAACUCGAUCUCAGUUCGGAUUGCAGGCUGCAACUCGCCUGCAUGAAGGUGGAAUCGCUAGUAAUCGCCGGUCAGCUAUACGGCGGUGAAUCCGUUCCCGGGCCUUGUACACACCGCCCGUCACACCAUGGAAGCUAGCAACACCCAAAGUCGUUACCUUAACCGUUUGGAGGGGGGCGCCUAAGGUAGGGUUAGUGACUGGGGUGAAGUCGUAACAAGGUAGCCCUACUGGAAGGUGGGGCUGGAUCACCUCCU